This 278-nucleotide ribosomal RNA is filed under the name uncultured bacterium. RNAcentral describes it as "partial 16S ribosomal RNA". It matches the Rfam family "Bacterial small subunit ribosomal RNA", at positions 335 to 606 of the family's 1533-position model. The record is from RNAcentral.
ACUCCUACGGGAGGCAGCAGUGGGAAUUUUGGACAAUGGGCGAAAGCCUGAUCCAGCAAUGCCGCGUGUGCGAAGAAGGCCUUCGGGUUGUAAAGCACUUUUGUUAGGGAAGAAAUCUUCCGGGCCAAUACCCGUCGGUGAUGACGGUACCUUUCGAAUAAGCACCGGCUAACUACGUGCCAGCAGCCGCGGUAAUACGUAGGGUGCAAGCGUUAAUCGGAAUUACUGGGCGUAAAGCGUGCGCAGGCGGCACUACAAGACAGAUGUGAAAUCCCGGC